Long non-coding RNA from Magnolia sinica, 400 nucleotides. RefSeq lists it as uncharacterized. The transcript is spliced from 3 exons. The record is from RefSeq and is a predicted model, not a curated record. NCBI's taxonomy places the organism in Eukaryota, Viridiplantae, Streptophyta, Magnoliopsida, Magnoliales, Magnoliaceae.
CAUGUUGUCCAACCACCAGAUUUUCACAAGUGCCUUUCCUGUUCAUUAUAGUCCUCCAAAUGGUUUCCAUUUUGAAGUCAAUGAUGAAUCUUCACCUAUGCAGCCGCUUAGGUAUUGUUGACAAUGAUGUCGUCGAGCUAAAUUAUCUACAACGACAGGGAGUUGUGCUGGCUAAAAGUUUGGCUGCCAAGGAACCAUCUGCAUGCUGGAAUUUCUCACUAUCUUUUUAGCGAAUUCUACCCUCUCCUUCUUCCCAUUCUCCGCUUCCUCUUCUGUAUAGAGAGAGAUGGCUUGGAGGUGCCUUCUCACACAGGUCAGAUUCGUCAUCUGAAUAGCUUUAUUUUUUUGAAUUUGUUCAAUGGUUUUUUUUUUUUUUUUCCUUCAUCUUGAAUCUCAAACC